RNAcentral lists this ribosomal RNA (119 nucleotides) under Triticum dicoccoides. Lineage: Eukaryota; Viridiplantae; Streptophyta; Magnoliopsida; Poales; Poaceae. The record is from RNAcentral.
GGAUGCGAUCAUACCAGCACUAAAGCACCAGAUCCCAUCAGAACUCCAAAGUUAAGCGUGCUUGGGCGAGAGUAGUAAUAGGAUGGGUGACCUCCUGGGAAGUCCUUGUGUUGCAUUCC